This 473-nucleotide long non-coding RNA is filed under the name Lathyrus oleraceus (garden pea). RNAcentral describes it as "Pisum sativum (pea) long non-coding RNA (PSAT_LNC005022)". The record is from RNAcentral. Lineage: Eukaryota; Viridiplantae; Streptophyta; Magnoliopsida; Fabales; Fabaceae.
GGAAAUCAGAGCAUUCGUAGUUCGGGGAACUACGGUUUGUUGGUGUCUUUUAAUGAACGACUGUUUAGAUCACGUUCUAAAGGCUAAACAUUGGCUUGUCUACUCUCGGCGGAGGCUUAAGCACUAGUUUGUUAUGCACGUUAGAAAGGAUUGAACAGUGUUCUUUCUGAAAAAGCUUUAAAUUGCACGGGGCGAGAAAAGAAGUUUGAUAGGUGGAAUGUGUUUUAAUGAACAAGUGCUCAGAUUGCAUCCUAGCGGUUAAACGUUGGCUUGCAUGCUCGAGGUGGGAACUUAAGCUCUAGUUUGUGUACGCACUAGAAAGGAUUAAGCAAUGUUCUUUUCGAAAAAGAAUUAAGUCGUCGAUCGUACGGGGGCGUGAAAUUUAGUUUAAUGUAUUUGGUAUUUUGAAGGAACGACAAAAAAUUGAGCAAUAUGGUGCACACCAAUCAUUCAAUCUUUUGAGGAAUAAUAAG